GUGCUCACUUUGGUAGCAUAUGUACUAAAAUUGGAACAAUGGAGAGAAGAUUAGCAUGGCCCCUGUGCAAGGAUGACACACAAAUUUGUGAAGUGUUUCAUAUUUUU
This is a small nuclear RNA of Nycticebus coucang (slow loris), 107 nucleotides long. NCBI's taxonomy places the organism in Eukaryota, Metazoa, Chordata, Mammalia, Primates, Lorisidae. The record is from RefSeq and is a predicted model, not a curated record.